Molecule: long non-coding RNA, 241 nt
Filed under: Elaeis guineensis (African oil palm)
Lineage: Eukaryota; Viridiplantae; Streptophyta; Magnoliopsida; Arecales; Arecaceae
Description: long non-coding RNA (EGUI_LNC000326)
Source: RNAcentral
CAACCUGACAGACCUCAUCGUCGUCGACGUCCCCAUCUCCACCUCUAUGAUUUUUUUUUUAUCUCAUUCCACCAAAAUAGGAUUUCAAUCCAACAAAGAGAGUCCGGAUUGGAUUGGAGGGGAUUGGGCCAUUCUCAUUCCAUCCCAGAAUCGGAAUCGAAGUAGAACUCCCUCGAACCAAAUGGCUGGAAUGGGAGUCAUCCAUUCCGAUUCUCAUUGUAGAUCUAAUUUUCUCCAAUCA